Long non-coding RNA from Canis lupus familiaris (dog), 2263 nucleotides. RefSeq lists it as uncharacterized. The transcript has 8 exons. NCBI's taxonomy places the organism in Eukaryota, Metazoa, Chordata, Mammalia, Carnivora, Canidae. The record is from RefSeq and is a predicted model, not a curated record.
GUGAGUGAGUGUGAGCGUGUGUGUGAGCGUGUCCCCGUCCUGCAGCCUCCAGGGCUCUUCCCUGGCCUCACCCCGCCCCCCGCGCUCCCUUCCCGCCCGGCACCGUCUGCGAACGUUUCCGAGAAGUCCCUGUGGCGGUUUGGUGGGAAGCGGGGGGAGGGCCCCAGGCCCGAGGGCACAGGCCGGGCCGGGGUCUGCGGGGCCCGGAGGAUUCGGGCUGCGAAUCGGUUCCUUCUCCCAGGCUUUGCCCAAGGAGACCGGAGAGGUGUGCGGAGGAGUCAGUGGCCGCGGCUGCAGGGGGAGACGUAGGUAGGGGAGAGGCUGCCUUCGCAGACCUGGACCCGCGCGUCUGGAUCCAUCGUCGGUCAUAGAGGUUCCAAGUUUAGAGCUGGGCUCUCCACUGAAGGGUGAGCUUGGCCACUUGAGAUAAUUCUUAAUGCCACAUCACAGCCACCUCAUCUUCUCUUCCGUGAUUGGUCGCGUAGAAGAGUUCAACUGUACUAAGAUUCUUUUCUUGCAGAAGCCUUAGACUAGACUAGGUUAGCCAAUAUAUGAAACAUUUGUGUGUAGACAUUAGGCAACAUGAUACAGAAGACUGAUCACUGAGAGAAAGGACGUAAACAAGCUUACCAGGCAUGCAAAGAAGCAGGAAAAUAUGAGCCAUAGUCAGCAGAAAAGUCAAUCAACAGGAACUGAGCCAGAAACAGCAAAGAUGAUAGAAUUAACAGUUGAUGACAUUAGGUUCCAUAUUAUAAGUGUGCUCUACAUGCUCAAGACCCUAGAGAAAAAUCUGAACAUCAUGAAGAGAGAAAUAGAAGAUAUUAAAACAACAAAUUGGAACUUCUACAUAUGAAAGUAAUUGUUAAAGCAAAGAUGGGAAUGGAACAUUUGAGAAAGAAGAAACUGUUAAAAAAAAAAAAAAAAAAGACAGCAGACCUAAAAUGGAGUCACUUGUGCUAAAGCCCAGGUGAAAACACUAACUAAUGUGAGAGAUUAAACAACUUGUCCAAGGCUACACAGCUAAUAUGUGGCAGAACCAAGAUGUCAGCCUAAGCAAUCAGGAUCUGGAGCCCGUGUGUUAAGCAACAAGCUGUAUUACUUCCAUAGGAAGUGGCUAUUCUAUGUCUGUCAAUAUAAACAUUCAGAAGACAUUGGCCAGGCUACCCUACAAUUAUGAAUUAAAAAUUAAAUUUGGUAAAUGCAGGUGAACAAUAUAAAUGUAAGGAAUCCAUAUUUGGUAGCAAAACCCAAAGAAGAGAACAAAGAUUUGAUGUAUCACAGUAACUUAUAGCAGAUGAUGUGGUGUGUUACCCAUCCCAAUUCAGGAACAAUGGAUUCAUUCCUUAAGUUAGAGGGAGUUUUCUUUGAUUCCUUUAUCUCAGAAGAAAGUCUGUAUUGCAUUGGAAUAUUGAGAAAAGUGAGUCAAUCUCUGUAUGAGAGAAGAAACCCUAGAAAUCUGAGGCAAUAUUUCUGACUUUGCCUUGACAGUUUGAGAAUAAAAGGGUUAGAGACCUGGUAAUGAAUGGACUAAUUGUUAGAACUGUGAGGGGUAUGGAGACUGCAGAGCAUUCCAGGACAGCUAGAUGUCCGCUUGCAAUGAGGCUAUUGGCUGGAUGCACUGAUCCCCAACACAGAGAAGUCCGAAGUUGAGGACUGGUGAAAACUCCUCAUGGACUUGUACCAACCAUGGACAACAUUGACAGCCUCUUGUCUGGAGAUAGACUGUAGUAUGAUAAAAGCACAGAGUGCACCCCAAAUCGAAUGAUGCACAAGAGAUCUGGACUUAAUAAGCACAGAUAACUUGAACUCCAGAUGCUUGUCCGAGAAUUUAUAACAUUUUUUGCUUCAAUACUGUUGUUGAAAAAAAAGGAUAUUGUCUGAAGAUUCAACCAUCCCUAUGUACUUCUGAUUUCUGGACAGCCCCCUAAAAAGACAUAUAUCUGAACCAGGCCAUCAGUGAACUGUAAACUGGCACCCAAUUGAUGUAAAUUGUUUUCCUGACCUCUUAGGCCAUUAACCCACAUUAAUAGAUAUUAUCAUAAGCAUCAGUCUCCGGGGACCUGGAGAAGGAAGAGGAUGGCGACAGAAGGCUGAAAUGAUGGCCACUGGCUAAUUGUAGCUUUUAAUGAUCUAACCCUACAGGUUUUUGGAAGUCUUCCAUAUUAUACAUAUUUGAAAAAUGAUCUGUAUCACCAAGCUGGGUUGGCAAGGACACUGUAGUUCUCAGGAAUUAAAAACAUAAUCACUGCAUUUUGACUGAUUU